GUUACUUGGCUAAAAUACAGUAAAAAUGUCAAUUAAUGAAGGUCGGCAUACAAAAUAUAAACUCCUCUAUCCGAAUACACUCAAACAGUAGCUUGAAAAAUGAUAAAUGACAAAUUAAAACCUUACUUUGAGCGAUUAUAAUUUUAAAAAAUCUAUUUAAGUUUUCAGUAGCUUUCAUCUAAAGCAAACACGUCUUGUCAUCUGAGUCACUUCAGCGCCUUUUAUAGCGACUAAACCAAAUUACUUGUACUCGUAUAAUAGAAAAAGCUGCUGCUUAGUUCCCGCCUUAGCCCAGUGGGGAGUGAAAUAGCCAACUAAGUAUAUACUAACUAUAUAUACAGCUGUCAGCCAUCAACGGGCAAAGUGUUGACAAAAGCAGCCGACAACAUCAGACGUCAGCAGCUGCGGUCCAGGAUGACUUAGACAGUCCGCUCAUCCUCGCCUGGAUUGGCUGCAGCAACAAAUCCAAGCGCGGAAAAUUGUCUGUACCAGGCUGACAGUACGCGAGCAGGAGGAGCGGGGCUAUAACAUGAAGUUUACUAAACAUAUUAAAAAAAAAA
This is a non-coding RNA of Drosophila virilis, 560 nucleotides long. The record is from RefSeq and is a predicted model, not a curated record. NCBI's taxonomy places the organism in Eukaryota, Metazoa, Arthropoda, Insecta, Diptera, Drosophilidae.